Molecule: long non-coding RNA, 406 nt
Filed under: Mytilus galloprovincialis (Mediterranean mussel)
Lineage: Eukaryota; Metazoa; Mollusca; Bivalvia; Mytilida; Mytilidae
Source: RNAcentral
CAUUAUUUUUGGUUUUUGCACCAUAACUUUAGUAUAAGUAAAUAGAAAUCUAUGAAAUUUAAACACAAGGUUUAUGACCAUAAAAGGAAGGUUGGGUUUGAUUUUGGGAGUUUUGGUCCUAACAGUUUAGGAAUAAGGGGCCCAAAGGGUCCAAAAUUGAACUUUGUGUGAUUUCAUCAAAAAAUUGAAUAAUUGGGGUUCUUUGAUAUGCCGAAUCUAACUAUGUAUGUAGAUUCUUAAUUUUUUGUCCCGUUUUCAAAUUGGUCUACAUUAAGGUCCAAAGGGUCCAAAAUUAAACUUAGUUUGAUUUUAACAAAAAUUGAAUCCUUGGUGUUCUUUGAUAUGCUGAAUUUAAAAAUGUACUUAGAUUUUUAAUUAUUGGCCUAGUUUUCAAGUUGGUCCAAAU